UACGUAGGGUGCGAGCGUUGUCCGGAAUUAUUGGGCGUAAAGGGCUCGUAGGCGGUUUGUCGCGUCGGGAGUGAAAACCUCGGGCUUAACUCGGGGCUUGCUCUCGAUACGGGCAGACUAGAGGUAUGCAGGGGAGAACGGAAUUCCUGGUGUAGCGGUGAAAUGCGCAGAUAUCAGGAGGAACACCGGUGGCGAAGGCGGCCAUCUGGACGGCUAUUGACGCUGAGACGCGAAAGCAUGGGGAGCAAACAGG
Molecule: ribosomal RNA, 253 nt
Filed under: uncultured bacterium
Lineage: Bacteria
Description: partial 16S ribosomal RNA
Rfam family: Bacterial small subunit ribosomal RNA
Source: RNAcentral